UUUGGUGCCUCAACGCAGGGGUCACACCGGUUCUCAUUCCGAACACCGAAGUUAAGCCCUGUAGUGCCGAUGAUACUACUCUGUGGGAAAGUAGGUAGGCGCCAGAA
RNAcentral lists this ribosomal RNA (107 nucleotides) under Candidatus Zambryskibacteria bacterium RIFCSPHIGHO2_02_38_10.5. Lineage: Bacteria; Candidatus Zambryskiibacteriota. The record is from RNAcentral. RNAcentral also lists the same sequence under 5 other names.